Molecule: long non-coding RNA, 425 nt
Filed under: Gossypium raimondii (Peruvian cotton)
Lineage: Eukaryota; Viridiplantae; Streptophyta; Magnoliopsida; Malvales; Malvaceae
Description: long non-coding RNA (GRAI_LNC010807)
Source: RNAcentral
UGUAAGAGGAGAGCCUCGUUCUUCAUGAUUCACUGCUGCCAAAACCCAAAAUCAACUAACAGAAAAAAAAGAAUGGAAUUGAUUUAAAUCAGCUUAAAAAUGAUUCCCUAGCCCACAUGAAAUUCACCCCUUACACUUACCAAAUCACAUAAGAAAAAACAUCGAAGAGCUAAUAUAUCGAGAUUGAAUGGCAAGAUUGUGACAGAAUUUCAAAAAAAAAAUAAAACAGAGGAUUUUUCCAGUUAAUAGAAAAAAAGGUCAAAUUUUAGAAAUUUUGGAGGAGAGAAAAAAAGAAUAAUAAAAAAUAUAAUAUAAUAUGAAAACAUAUCCCCAAAUUUCCUCCCCCUAACCCACAAACUCUCAACUAUCUCAGAAUUUCAGUUCCACCCAACCUCUAACAAACACUCGAAGCAAAAAUUGUCAAC